CCCAAUUCUAACAGCAUAAGAGAGGUAGUGACAAGAAAUAACAGUACAAGGCAGUUAAAAUGYUUUGUAAUUGGAAUGAUAGAAAUUUAAACACUUUUUAAAGUAUCAAUUGGAGGGCAAGUCUGGUGCCAGCAGCCGCGGUAAUUCCAGCUCCAAUAGCGUAUAUUAAAAUUGUUGCAGUUAAAAAGCUCGUAGUUGAAUUUYUGCUARAAAUAACCGGUCUGCUUUUAUUA
RNAcentral lists this ribosomal RNA (233 nucleotides) under Eucoccidiorida sp. RNAcentral's name for it is "partial small subunit ribosomal RNA". Lineage: Eukaryota; Apicomplexa; Conoidasida; Eucoccidiorida. The record is from RNAcentral.